RNAcentral lists this ribosomal RNA (465 nucleotides) under uncultured bacterium. RNAcentral describes it as "bacterial SSU rRNA". It matches the Rfam family "Bacterial small subunit ribosomal RNA", at positions 917 to 1382 of the family's 1533-position model. The record is from RNAcentral.
GGGCCCGCACAAGCGGUGGAGCAUGUGGUUUAAUUCGAUGAUACGCGAGGAACCUUACCUGGGCUUAAAUGUUAGAUGACAGUCCCCGAAAGGGGAUCUUCCUUCGGGACAUCUUACAAGGUGCUGCAUGGUUGUCGUCAGCUCGUGCCGUGAGGUGUCGGGUUAAGUCCCAUAACGAGCGCAACCCCUAUUCUUAGUUGCCAUCAGGUAAUGCUGGGGACUCUAAGAAAACUGCCUACGCAAGUAGUGAGGAAGGUGGGGAUGACGUCAAAUCAGCACGGCCCUUAUGUCCAGGGCUACACACGUGCUACAAUGGCCAGUACAGAGGGUCGCUACCUGGUGACAGGAUGCUAAUCUCGAAAGCUGGUCUCAGUUCGGAUUGGAGUCUGCAACUCGACUCCAUGAAGCUGGAAUCGCUAGUAAUCGCGCAUCAGCCAUGGCGCGGUGAAUACGUUCCCGGGCCUU